GACGAACGCUGGCGGCGUGCCUAAUACAUGCAAGUAGAACGCUGAAAGAAGAGCUUGCUCUUCUGGAUGAGUUGCGGACGGGUGAGUAACGCGUAGGUAACCUGCCUGGUAGCGGGGGAUAACUAUUGGAAACGAUAGCUAAUACCGCAUAAUAGCAGUUGUUGCAUGACAACUGUUUGAAAGGUGCAAUUGCAUCACUACCAGAUGGACCUGCGUUGUAUUAGCUAGUUGGUGGGGUAACGGCUCACCAAGGCGACGAUACAUAGCCGACCUGAGAGGGUGAUCGGCCACACUGGGACUGAGACACGGCCCAGACUCCUACGGGAGGCAGCAGUAGGGAAUCUUCGGCAAUGGACGGAAGUCUGACCGAGCAACGCCGCGUGAGUGAAGAAGGUUUUCGGAUCGUAAAGCUCUGUUGUAAGAGAAGAACGAGUAUGAGAGUGGAAAGUUCAUACUGUGACGGUAUCUUACCAGAAAGGGACGGCUAACUACGUGCCAGCAGCCGCGGUAAUACGUAGGUCCCGAGCGUUGUCCGGAUUUAUUGGGCGUAAAGCGAGCGCAGGCGGUUAGAUAAGUCUGAAGUUAAAGGCUGUGGCUUAACCAUAGUACGCUUUGGAAACUGUUUAACUUGAGUGCAAGAGGGGAGAGUGGAAUUCCAUGUGUAGCGGUGAAAUGCGUAGAUAUAUGGAGGAACACCGGUGGCGAAAGCGGCUCUCUGGCUUGUAACUGACGCUGAGGCUCGAAAGCGUGGGGAGCAAACAGG
Molecule: ribosomal RNA, 763 nt
Filed under: uncultured Streptococcus sp.
Lineage: Bacteria; Bacillati; Bacillota; Bacilli; Lactobacillales; Streptococcaceae
Description: bacterial SSU rRNA
Rfam family: Bacterial small subunit ribosomal RNA
Source: RNAcentral